CCUCUCGGCCCACUGAAGGUCCCCAACCCGUCCCUGCUCGCCCAGCCUCAUCGGAGCACCGCCGCACGCCAAGCCCCUGCUCCCGCCGCGGGCCCUCCUUCGGCCACCCCGGCAUCAACCAAGACCACCCGCAGAUACGCUAGAUGUGUGACGCGUGGAACUGAAGGGUGAUGUUAGAGUUGAUCCAGAAGCUGGUGUACUGAUAAACCGACCCAAAAGAUGGAAGGACCGAAUGAAGUGCAAGCUAGGACCGGAGAUGCAAGCAAGCUGGUAGCUGCUGCUGGUUUAAGCUAAUCAGGAUUCACAUCGGUUGGCUCGAUGUGACGUCCUCACGACUACAUAGAUAACGUUGUUUUCAAACCGAGCUUUUAUUUAAUUUCCGCUGCAUUUUGAACUCUGAUGUAUUACAUAAAUUCAUUUUGUUAAGCUCUGUUUUGUAAUUUGAAAUUUGAGAAACUUCUGUCUAUUUGUAAUCAUCUGUGCUCGCCUUCGGGUGAGACUUCCAGUGUUUUCGAUCCUUAACCCAACA
This is a long non-coding RNA of Panicum virgatum (switchgrass), 529 nucleotides long. RefSeq lists it as uncharacterized. NCBI's taxonomy places the organism in Eukaryota, Viridiplantae, Streptophyta, Magnoliopsida, Poales, Poaceae. The record is from RefSeq and is a predicted model, not a curated record. The transcript is spliced from 3 exons.